RNAcentral lists this ribosomal RNA (492 nucleotides) under uncultured bacterium. RNAcentral describes it as "partial 16S ribosomal RNA". It matches the Rfam family "Bacterial small subunit ribosomal RNA", at positions 29 to 507 of the family's 1533-position model. The record is from RNAcentral.
AGUGAACGCUGGCGGUAGGCCUAACACAUGCAAGUCGAACGGCAGCACAGUAAGAGCUUGCUCUUACGGGUGGCGAGUGGCGGACGGGUGAGGAAUACAUCGGAAUCUACUUUUUCGUGGGGGAUAACGUAGGGAAACUUACGCUAAUACCGCAUACGACCUACGGGUGAAGGCAGGGGAUCUUCGGACCUUGCGCGAUUGAAUGAGCCGAUGUCGGAUUAGCUAGUUGGCGGGGUAAAGGCCCACCAAGGCGACGAUCCGUAGCUGGUCUGAGAGGAUGGUCAGCCACCCUGGAACUGAGACACGGUCCAGACUCCUACGGGAGGCAGCAGUGGGGAAUAUUGGACAAUGGGCGCAAGCCUGAUCCAGCCAUACCGCGUGGGUGAAGAAGGCCUUCGGGUUGUAAAGCCCUUUUGUUGGGAAAGAAAAGCAGCAGGUUAAUACCCCGCUGUUCUGACGGUACCCAAAGAAUAAGCACCGGCUAACUUCGUG